GUGUCAGCAGCCGCGGUAAGACGAACCGUGCGAACGUUGUUCGGAAUCACUGGGCUUAAAGGGCGCGUAGGCGGGUGUCCAAGUCAGGGGUGAAAUCCUCCAGCUUAACUGGAGAACUGCCUGUGAUACUGGACGUCUGGAGUGAGGUAGGGGCAUGUGGAACUUCCGGUGGAGCGGUGAAAUGCGUAGAUAUCGGAAGGAACACCGGUGGCGAAGGCGGCAUGCUGGACCUCAACUGACGCUGAGGCGCGAAAGCCAGGGGAGCAAACGGGAUUAGAUACCCCAGUAGUCC
Molecule: ribosomal RNA, 292 nt
Filed under: uncultured bacterium
Lineage: Bacteria
Description: partial 16S ribosomal RNA
Rfam family: Bacterial small subunit ribosomal RNA
Source: RNAcentral